Molecule: ribosomal RNA, 492 nt
Filed under: uncultured bacterium
Lineage: Bacteria
Description: partial 16S ribosomal RNA
Rfam family: Bacterial small subunit ribosomal RNA (bases 19-340)
Source: RNAcentral
ACGAACGCUGGCGGCGUGCUUAACACAUGCAAGUCGAACGGUGAAGCGCCUUCCUUUUUGGUGGGUGUGGAUGAGUGGCGAACGGGUGAGUAACACGUGAGUAACCUGCCCCCUUCUUCUGGAUAACCGCAUGAAAGUGUGGCUAAUACGGGAUAUUCUGGGUCUGUCGCAUGAUGGGUCUGGGAAAGAUAUUGUUUCGGUGGGGGAUGGGCUCGCGGCCUAUCAGCUUGUUGGUGGGGUGAUGGCCUACCAAGGCGGUGACGGGUAGCCGGCCUGAGAGGGGGGGCGGUCUGAGUGGGAGACUGAGCCGGGCCACAGACCGCGGGGGGGCGGAGGUGGGGAGAAUAGUGCAAAGGGGGCAUGAGGGAGGCGCCGCGCCCGCGGGAGGGAGGGGGGCCGUUGGGGUGUGUGCCCUUUUGGGGAGUGAAACAGGCCUGCGCCUUUUUUGGGGGUGGGGAGGGGAUUGGGGUAAAAACCGCCGCGUAAAUAGGG